This 286-nucleotide ribosomal RNA is filed under the name uncultured bacterium. RNAcentral's name for it is "partial 16S ribosomal RNA". It matches the Rfam family "Bacterial small subunit ribosomal RNA", at positions 335 to 618 of the family's 1533-position model. The record is from RNAcentral.
ACUCCUACGGGAGGCAGCAGUGAGGAAUAUUGGUCAAUGGAGGGAACUCUGAACCAGCCAUCCCGCGUGUAGGAAGACGGCCUUAUGGGUUGUAAACUACUUUUAUACAGGAAGAAACGUACCCUCGUGAGGGUGCCUGACGGUACUGUAGGAAUAAGCACCGGCUAACUCCGUGCCAGCAGCCGCGGUAAUACGGAGGGUGCGAGCGUUAAUCGGAAUUACUGGGCGUAAAGCGCAUGCAGGUGGUUUGUUAAGUCAGAUGUGAAAGCCCGGGGCUCAACCUCGG